GGAUGAGAAGAUUUAGAUAAAUAAGAAUGAAUAAAUAUGAAAAUGUUUGGAGAAUUAUGAUAAAUAAAAAUGUAAAAAAUAUCGUGAUGCAAGUAUUCCAUUUUCCUAUUAGAUAUGUGAUGAUUUUAAUACUUAUUCUCGUCCUAAACCCACAUUUAAUUGGUGGAGUGAUUCGGAUUUUUUCGAUUUUCAGAUUUUUUUUAACAUUUUAAAUUUUUUUUUUCACAUUUCGGAUUUUUCGGUUCGGAUCGAAUUUUAUCCAAAAUUUUUUGAAUUUUCAGAUUCGAAUUUUCGAAUAAUAUGGUUUGAAUCGGAUUGAAUUUUAAGGAAAUUUCGGAUUUUCGGAUUGGAUAGCAUCAGGCAAAAAUCCAA
This 372-nucleotide long non-coding RNA is filed under the name Salvia miltiorrhiza (redroot sage). RNAcentral describes it as "long non-coding RNA (SMIL_LNC009433)". The record is from RNAcentral. Lineage: Eukaryota; Viridiplantae; Streptophyta; Magnoliopsida; Lamiales; Lamiaceae.